This 76-nucleotide transfer RNA is filed under the name Lentisphaerota bacterium. Its description in RNAcentral is "Lentisphaerae bacterium (anaerobic digester metagenome) tRNA-Lys". It matches the Rfam family "tRNA". From Rfam's summary of the family: Transfer RNA (tRNA) molecules are approximately 80 nucleotides in length. The record is from RNAcentral. Lineage: Bacteria; Pseudomonadati; Lentisphaerota.
GGAGGCGUAGCUCAGUCGGCAGAGCAGCUGACUCUUAAUCAGUAGGUCGUGGGUUCGAGUCCCUCCGCCUCUACCA